GUGGGGAAUAUUGGACAAUGGGCGAAAGCCUGAUCCAGCCAUGCCGCGUGUGUGAAGAAGGUCUUCGGAUUGUAAAGCACUUUAAGUUGGGAGGAAGGGCAGUAAGUUAAUACCUUGCUGUUUUGACGUUACCGACAGAAUAAGCACCGGCUAACUUCGUGCCAGCAGCCGCGGUAAUACGAAGGGUGCAAGCGUUAAUCGGAAUUACUGGGCGUAAAGCGCGCGUAGGUGGUUUUGUAAGUUGGAGGUGAAAUCCCCGGGCUCAACCUGGGAACUGGCUCCAAAACUGCAUGACUAGAGUACGGUAGAGGGUAGUGGAAUUUCCUGUGUAGCGGUGAAAUGCGUAGAUAUAGGAAGGAACACCAGUGGCGAAGGCGACUACCUGGACUGAUACUGACACUGAGGUGCGAAAGCGUGGGGAGCAAACAGGAUUAGAAACCCGUGUAGUCC
This 450-nucleotide ribosomal RNA is filed under the name uncultured bacterium. RNAcentral's name for it is "partial 16S ribosomal RNA". It matches the Rfam family "Bacterial small subunit ribosomal RNA", at positions 354 to 796 of the family's 1533-position model. The record is from RNAcentral.